RNAcentral lists this ribosomal RNA (480 nucleotides) under uncultured bacterium. Its description in RNAcentral is "bacterial SSU rRNA". It matches the Rfam family "Bacterial small subunit ribosomal RNA", at positions 30 to 506 of the family's 1533-position model. The record is from RNAcentral.
UUGAACGCUGGCGGCAUGCUUUACACAUGCAAGUCGAACGGUAACAGGUCUUCGGAUGCUGACGAGUGGCGAACGGGUGAGUAAUGCAUCGGAACGUGCCCAGUCGUGGGGGAUAACGCAGCGAAAGCUGUGCUAAUACCGCAUACGAUCUAUGGAUGAAAGCGGGGGAUCGCAAGACCUCGCGCGAUUGGAGCGGCCGAUGUCAGAUUAGCUAGUUGGUGGGGUAAAGGCCCACCAAGGCGACGAUCUGUAGCUGGUCUGAGAGGACGACCAGCCACACUGGGACUGAGACACGGCCCAGACUCCUACGGGAGGCAGCAGUGGGGAAUUUUGGACAAUGGGCGCAAGCCUGAUCCAGCAAUGCCGCGUGCAGGAAGAAGGCCUUCGGGUUGUAAACUGCUUUUGUACGGAACGAAAACGCAUCGGUGAAUACCCGGUGUGGAUGACGGUACCGUAAGAAGAAGCACCGGCUAACUACGU